GUUUUCUUGUUUCUCUCCUCAGUACAUUUGUCAGUUGAGCACCUCCACAUGCUCCACCCAAACCUGCAGAAAUGAUCUGUGUCACAGCUGCGUGGAAAAUCUCAUCAUGUCUGCAGCUUCAAGUCUUCCACCUCUUCUCCUCAGAACCACCUGCAGAACUUUUCACCUCCACAGAAGAACUUACCUGAUUGGUCGACCUUUCCAGAUCAGCAGUGACCAGACUUCCAGCGUCUCUUCCAUCACAGCUGAUUUCAAAGCAGACGUUGGAUGAAUUUGGAAGAAAACCUAAAUUAGAUCAGAAAAGAUGUUUUGCUGUCUGUCCCUAACGUCUUCAUGUGGACAGAGAUGAAAGACAAGCUUUCAUGUUUCUGGACACUGCCACCUGAGAUUACCUGCAAAUCUAAUAGAAACAAUGCAAUUUGAUGUUUUUGUCAGAUAUAGACCUAUUUUUAUUACUUAAAACUGUUUUUUGUAACAAUAUGUGAUUGUAAGUUUUGUUUAGGGCUGUUUUUUCUAUUUUUAUACCCGAGUUCAUCUAUAAGCCACCUAUUUUUCACACUCCCACUAUAGUUUCCUUUGGGCUUUCCUUUCAGUGACUUGUAAUGUUUUCUGAACGAUCUGUGCUGAGUUUCCGGAGCAGAACACUGAAAACAAAAGAGCAGCAGCAGGAACUUGUUGGUGUUUAACGGUGCCCAGAUGUGGGGAACAGGGAGCGGUAUGGUAAUGACAUGCUGAUAAGAAAACGUGUGCAUGUGUCCCCCAGGUAAAAAAAAAAAAAAAAAACAGGGGAACAUGGAAUCAAAUCUGAGCCAACAUCCUGAGAUUGUUCCUGUUGAUAAACUGA
Austrofundulus limnaeus is the source of this 844-nucleotide long non-coding RNA. RefSeq lists it as uncharacterized. Lineage: Eukaryota; Metazoa; Chordata; Actinopteri; Cyprinodontiformes; Rivulidae. The transcript has 2 exons. The record is from RefSeq and is a predicted model, not a curated record.